UGGAAGUAAAAGUCGUAACAAGGUCUCCGUUGGUGAACCAGCGGAGGGAUCAUUACCGAGUUAUACAACUCCCAAACCCACUGUGAACCUUACCUCAGUUGCCUCGGCGGGAACGCCCCGGCCGCCUGCCCCCGCGCCGGCGCCGGACCCAGGCGCCCGCCGCAGGGACCCCAAACUCUCUUGCAUUACGCCCAGCGGGCGGAAUUUCUUCUCUGAGUUGCACAAGCAAAAACAAAUGAAUCAAAACUUUCAACAACGGAUCUCUUGGUUCUGGCAUCGAUGAAGAACGCAGCGAAAUGCGAUAAGUAAUGUGAAUUGCAGAAUUCAGUGAAUCAUCGAAUCUUUGAACGCACAUUGCGCCCGCCAGCAUUCUGGCGGGCAUGCCUGUUCGAGCGUCAUUUCAACCCUCGAGCCCCCCCCGGGGGCCUCGGUGUUGGGGGACGGCACACCAGCCGCCCCCGAAAUGCAGUGGCGACCCCGCCGCAGCCUCCCCUGCGUAGUAGCACACACCUCGCACCGGAGCGCGGAGGCGGUCACGCCGUAAAACGCCCAACUUUCUUAGAGUUGACCUCGGAUCAGGUAGGAAUACCCGCUGAACUUAAGCAUAUCAAUAAGCGGAGGA
This 622-nucleotide ribosomal RNA is filed under the name uncultured fungus. RNAcentral describes it as "eukaryotic LSU rRNA". The stretch from base 245 to 398 matches the Rfam family "5.8S ribosomal RNA". Lineage: Eukaryota; Fungi. The record is from RNAcentral.